RNAcentral lists this ribosomal RNA (253 nucleotides) under uncultured bacterium. Its description in RNAcentral is "partial 16S ribosomal RNA". It matches the Rfam family "Bacterial small subunit ribosomal RNA", at positions 524 to 776 of the family's 1533-position model. The record is from RNAcentral.
UACGGAGGAUCCGAGCGUUAUCCGGAUUUAUUGGGUUUAAAGGGUGCGUAGGCGGAAAAAUAAGUCAGUUGUGAAAGUUUGCGGCUCAACCGUAAAAUUGCAGUUGAUACUGUUUUUCUUGAGUGUACAUAAGGUAGGCGGAAUUCGUGGUGUAGCGGUGAAAUGCUUAGAUAUCACGAAGAACUCCAAUUGCGAAGGCAGCUUACCGGGGUACAACUGACGCUGAGGCACGAAAGUGUGGGUAUCAAACAGG